CUCCCUGCUACCACAGAACGUCUUAGACCUCCACGGGCUGCAUGUGGAUGAAGCUAUAGAACACUUGACAGCAGUUCUACAGCAGAAAACGGAAGAAUUUAAGCAGAGUGGCGGUAAGCCCUAUCUUUCAGUGAUUACUGGGAGAGGAAACCACAGCCAGGGAGGAGUUGCUCGAAUCAAACCAGCUGUCAUUAAAUACCUCACAAGCCACAGCUUCAGGUUCUCUGAAAUUAAACCAGGGUGCUUGAAAGUCAUGCUGAAGUGAAACUUAAAGCCCUGGACUUAGAAGUGUGAGGUUUGUGGGCUGACGUUGGUUUUACUUGUAGUAAUUCAGUCAGUUCUAUUUUCAAAUGUAUUUAUUAGGAAUGUAAAACAAGAAAAAUGCUUUUCAG
This 392-nucleotide long non-coding RNA is filed under the name Rattus norvegicus (Norway rat). RNAcentral's name for it is "long non-coding RNA NONRATT009894". Lineage: Eukaryota; Metazoa; Chordata; Mammalia; Rodentia; Muridae. The record is from RNAcentral.